Molecule: ribosomal RNA, 171 nt
Filed under: uncultured bacterium
Lineage: Bacteria
Description: partial 16S ribosomal RNA
Rfam family: Bacterial small subunit ribosomal RNA
Source: RNAcentral
GAAUUGCUAGUAAUGGCAGGUCAGCAUACUGCCGUGAAUACGUUCCCGGGCCUUGUACACACCGCCCGUCACACCAUGAGAGUUGGGAAUACCCGAAGCCUGUGAGCUAACUUAUAGAGGCAGCAGUCGAAGGUAGAAUCAAUGAUUGGGGUGAAGUCGUAACAAGGUAAC